UACGGAGGAUGCAAGCGUUAUCCGGAUUCAUUGGGUUUAAAGGAUGCGCAGGCGGGGAAUAAGUCAGUGGUGAAAAGCUGCCGCUCAACGGUAGUCUUGCCAAUGAUACUGUUUUUCUUGAGUGUGGUUAAGGUAGGUGGAAUGUGCAGUGUAGCGGUGAAAUGCAUAGAGAUUGCACAGAAGGCCGAUUGCGAAGGCAGCUUACUGAACCAUAACUGACGCUCAUGCACGAAAGCGUGGGGAUCAAA
This 248-nucleotide ribosomal RNA is filed under the name uncultured prokaryote. RNAcentral describes it as "partial 16S ribosomal RNA". It matches the Rfam family "Bacterial small subunit ribosomal RNA", at positions 524 to 772 of the family's 1533-position model. The record is from RNAcentral.